UACCGCGAAGAACCUUACCUACUCUUGACAUCUACAGAAUCCUGCGGAGACGCGGGAGUGCCUUCGGGAACUGUAAGACAGGUGCUGCAUGGCUGUCGUCAGCUCGUGUUGUGAAAUGUUGGGUUAAGUCCCGCAACGAGCGCAACCCUUAUCCUUGUUUGCCAGCGAGUAAUGUCGGGAACUCCAGGGAGACUGCCGGUGAUAAACCGGAGGAAGGUGGGGACGACGUCAAGUCAUCAUGGCCCUUACGAGUAGGGCUACACACGUGCUACAAUGGCGCAUACAGAGGGCAGCGAACUUGCGAGAGUAAGCGAAUCCCAAAAAGUGCGUCGUAGUCCGGAUUGGAGUCUGCAACUCGACUCCAUGAAGUCGGAAUCGCUAGUAAUCGKAAU
This 392-nucleotide ribosomal RNA is filed under the name Vibrio sp. RNAcentral describes it as "bacterial SSU rRNA". It matches the Rfam family "Bacterial small subunit ribosomal RNA", at positions 957 to 1348 of the family's 1533-position model. The record is from RNAcentral. Lineage: Bacteria; Pseudomonadati; Pseudomonadota; Gammaproteobacteria; Vibrionales; Vibrionaceae.